AGGAAAACAGUGAGAAAACCUGAAUCUGUUUAAAAGUUUUGAGAUCCUGGUCUUGCAUCUGAUUCCAUAAUUAGAAAGAAUUGGCGCAGAUAGAAAUGUUACCUUACCUCUCUCAAGAGCAUCAUCUAUAUAAAAAACUCUGAAAAAUGACCCAGGUAAGAGAGUGGUGGGAGCUUUGAUUGGAUCAUCCAGAAACAUAUGGAGAACCACAAAAGGCUCAAAGAUUCUACAUGCCAACAAGCAAUAAAUGGAGAGAGUCAGCAGUGGAACAGAAAUAUUUGACUGAGUCAAGAAUGUCUUGUGUACCACAAACACAACAACAUAUCACAAUAAACUGAAUGCAAAAGCAAAUAUAAGAACCCAGGAGUUUGUCAUUGGAGUUGAUAAUAAAGUUUUUCAAAAAUGUAAAGCA
This 412-nucleotide long non-coding RNA is filed under the name Callithrix jacchus (white-tufted-ear marmoset). RNAcentral describes it as "lncRNA (ENSCJAG00000078548.1)". The record is from RNAcentral. Lineage: Eukaryota; Metazoa; Chordata; Mammalia; Primates; Cebidae.